GACGAACGCUGGCGGCGUGCUUAACACAUGCAAGUCGAACGGAAAGGCCCUGCUUUUGUGGGGUGCUCGAGUGGCGAACGGGUGAGUAACACGUGAGUAACCUGCCCUUGACUUUGGGAUAACUUCAGGAAACUGGGGCUAAUACCGGAUAGGAGCUCCUGCUGCAUGGUGGGGGUUGGAAAGUUUCGGCGGUUGGGGAUGGACUCGCGGCUUAUCAGCUUGUUGGUGGGGUAGUGGCUUACCAAGGCUUUGACGGGUAGCCGGCCUGAGAGGGUGACCGGCGACAGUGGGACUGAUACACGGCGCGGAGGCAGCCGGUAGGCACCAGGCGGGGAGAGGGCGGAAGGGCCGGGGGUUGGACGCCGCUGCGGCGCGUGCGGGAGGGCGGGCGACGGGAUGGAAAAAACAAGCGCCGGUGACCAAGCGGCAGGGAGCGGAGUUGAUAAAGAAGCACCGGCUCACUUCAUC
Molecule: ribosomal RNA, 468 nt
Filed under: uncultured bacterium
Lineage: Bacteria
Description: partial 16S ribosomal RNA
Rfam family: Bacterial small subunit ribosomal RNA
Source: RNAcentral